CCUACGGGAGGCAGCAGUAGGGAAUAUUGGGCAAUGGAGGCAACUCUGACCCAGCCAUGCCGCGUGCAGGAUGAAGGCGUUAUGCGUUGUAAACUGCUUUUAUAUAGGAAGAAAGAGUUCUUGCGAGAACAGUUGACGGUACUAUAUGAAUAAGCACCGGCUAACUCCGUGCCAGCAGCCGCGGUAAUACGGAGGGUGCAAGCGUUGUCCGGAUUUAUUGGGUUUAAAGGGUGCGUAGGCGGUUUAUUAAGUCAGUGGUGAAAGACGGUCGCUCAACGAUUGCAGUGCCAUUGAUACUGGUAGACUUGAGUGAGAUUGAGGUAGCUGGAAUGGAUAGUGUAGCGGUGAAAUGCAUAGAUAUUAUCCAGAACACCAAUUGCGUAGGCAAGUUACUAAGUCUCAACUGACGCUGAGGCACGAAAGUGUGGGUAUCAAACAGGAUUAGAUACCCUGGUAGUCCACACUGUAAACGAUGAUAACUAACUGUUGGCUUUCGGGUCAGUGGUACAGAGAAAUCGUUAAGUUAUCCACCUGGGGAGUACGCCGGCAACGGUGAAACUUAAAUGAAAUUGAGG
Molecule: ribosomal RNA, 575 nt
Filed under: uncultured bacterium
Lineage: Bacteria
Description: bacterial SSU rRNA
Rfam family: Bacterial small subunit ribosomal RNA
Source: RNAcentral